Molecule: long non-coding RNA, 685 nt
Filed under: Heterocephalus glaber (naked mole-rat)
Lineage: Eukaryota; Metazoa; Chordata; Mammalia; Rodentia; Bathyergidae
Description: lncRNA (ENSHGLG00000036329.1)
Source: RNAcentral
AGAGCAGAGACAGGCUACCCUACUCCCAUGCUUCUGGGGAUUUACACUUUUGCUGAUCAGCUGGACAAGCACCAACAGUGGAAAUCCUCCUGGCAAACAGAAAGAACACAGUCUCCAGAGUCAGACUGACCCAAGGACUGCACAAGCGUCAUCUUUUAUUUCCUGUGCCAUCUGGCUCAAACUACUCCAAGCUCUUUCCACGUCUCAAUAACUUUGUCUGUGAAAUGAAGCUAUAAGAAAACCAAAGAAAGGGAAGCCAUGUCCUUUCCACUAUGAAGGCUUUCAAAGGAAAGGAAAUAGGACACUGGCUGGAAUUCAGCCACAAAGCUUGAAUCCACAUGGUGACACUUUGAGAGAUCUUCAAAGUUCCUGCCCUCGGGGAAGUAGAUUCUCUAAGCAAGUCAUCUGGCAGAAGAACCCACUGGCAAAAUCUACUGAAAGAGGAUAAUGUAAAAUGACAGCUGUAAUGUUUUUGCAAAAGUUGAAGGCUCUUCCCUUCUAAGAAGGAUGAAGCAAGGAAAAACAUUGACUUUCACAGGAAAAGUCCACAUCCAAAUGAUGAGGGAAAAAAUAAAGAAAAAAUUCAGGACAAAUCUGAGUAGGAAAAUGUAAGAGGCACUAGAGAAGGAAGAAAAAAGAAUAUGAGAAGGAAGAAGAGAAUGAGUAAAAGAUGAAUGAGAGGGGC